Molecule: ribosomal RNA, 458 nt
Filed under: uncultured bacterium
Lineage: Bacteria
Description: partial 16S ribosomal RNA
Rfam family: Bacterial small subunit ribosomal RNA
Source: RNAcentral
CCUACGGGUGGCAGCAGUGAGGAAUAUUGGUCAAUGGGCGAGAGCCUGAACCAGCCAAGUCGCGUGAGGGAGUACUGCCCUAUGGGUUGUAAACCUCUUUUGUCGGGGAGCAAAAGCCGGACGUGUCCGGCUGUGAGAGUACCCGCAGAACAAGCAUCGGCUAACUCCGUGCCAGCAGCCGCGGUAAUACGGGGGGUGCGAGCGUUAUCCGGAUUUAUUGGGGUUAAAGGGUGCGAAGUCGGAUUGUUAAGUCAGCGUGCAAAUCGGGGGGCUAAACCCGAUCCAGCCGUUGAAACUGGGGAUCUGGAGUGUAGGAGAGGUAUGCGGAAUUCGUGGUGUAGCGGUGAAAUGCUUAGAUAUCACGAAGAACCCCGAUUGCGAAGGCAGCUUACUAAACUGUGACUGACAUUGAUGCUCGAAAGUGUGGGUAUCAAACAGGAUUAGAUACCCGAGUAGUC